GAUGAACGCUGGCGGCGUGCUUAACACAUGCAAGUCGAACGGAAAGGCUCCUGCUUGCAGGGGUACUCGAGCGGCGAACGGGUGAGUAACACGUGGGUGAUCUGCCCUGCACUUCGGGAUAAGCCUGGGAAACUGGGUCUAAUACCGGAUAGGACCACAUUUUGGAUGGUGUGGUGGAAAGUUUUUCGGUGUGGGAUGAGCUCGCGGCCUAUCAGCUUGUUGGUGGGGUAAUGGCCUACCAAGGCGUCGACGGGUAGCCGGCCUGAGAGGGUGUACGGCCACAUUGGGACUGAGAUACGGCCCAGACUCCUACGGGAGGCAGCAGUGGGGAAUAUUGCACAAUGGGCGCAAGCCUGAUGCAGCGACGCCGCGUGGGGGAUGACGGCCUUCGGGUUGUAAACUCCUUUCGCUAGGGACGAAGCGCAAGUGACGGUACCUGGAGAAGAAGCACCGGCUAACUACGUG
Molecule: ribosomal RNA, 465 nt
Filed under: uncultured bacterium
Lineage: Bacteria
Description: partial 16S ribosomal RNA
Rfam family: Bacterial small subunit ribosomal RNA
Source: RNAcentral